CAUCGGAACGUGCCCUGUAGUGGGGGAUAACUAGUCGAAAGACUAGCUAAUACCGCAUACGACCUGAGGGUGAAAGUGGGGGACCGCAAGGCCUCAUGCUAUAGGAGCGGCCGAUGUCUGAUUAGCUAGUUGGUGGGGUAAAGGCCCACCAAGGCGACGAUCAGUAGCUGGUCUGAGAGGACGAUCAGCCACACUGGGACUGAGACACGGCCCAGACUCCUACGGGAGGCAGCAGUGGGGAAUUUUGGACAAUGGGGGCAACCCUGAUCCAGCAAUGCCGCGUGUGUGAAGAAGGCCUUCGGGUUGUAAAGCACUUUUGUCCGGAAAGAAAUCGCACUGGUUAAUACCUGGUGUGGAUGACGGUACCGGAAGAAUAAGGACCGGCUAACUACGUGCCAGCAGCCGCGGUAAUACGUAGGGUCCAAGCGUUAAUCGGAAUUACUGGGCGUAAAGCGUGCGCAGGCGGUUGUGCAAGACCGAUGUGAAAUCCCCGGGCUUAACCUGGGAAUUGCAUUGGUGACUGCACGGCUAGAGUGUGUCAGAAGGAGGUAGAAUUCCACGUGUAGCAGUGAAAUGCGUAGAGAUGUGGAGGAAUACCGAUGGCGAAGGCAGCCUCCUGGGAUAACACUGACGCUCAUGCACGAAAGCGUGGGAGCAAACAGGAUUAGAUACCCUGGUAGUCCACGCCCUAUACGAUGUCAACUAGUUGUUGGGG
RNAcentral lists this ribosomal RNA (715 nucleotides) under Ralstonia solanacearum. RNAcentral describes it as "bacterial SSU rRNA". It matches the Rfam family "Bacterial small subunit ribosomal RNA", at positions 116 to 828 of the family's 1533-position model. The record is from RNAcentral. Lineage: Bacteria; Pseudomonadati; Pseudomonadota; Betaproteobacteria; Burkholderiales; Burkholderiaceae.